This 11020-nucleotide long non-coding RNA is filed under the name Solanum tuberosum (potato). RNAcentral's name for it is "long non-coding RNA (STUB_LNC002058)". The record is from RNAcentral. Lineage: Eukaryota; Viridiplantae; Streptophyta; Magnoliopsida; Solanales; Solanaceae.
AAUCCUGGCGAUGUGUUUGUGUUCCCAAAAGGUCUUAUUCACUUCCUGUAUAAUAUAGGAAACAAAAAAGCUACUUCUCUAAUCUAUUACAAUAGUCAAAAUCCUGGAGUUAUCUCGAUUCCUAAUUCAAUCUUUGCAUCAAAACCACCUGUUCCAGACGACGUUCUUGCCAAAGGCUUCCAGCUGAAUAAGAUACAGAUUGCACAACUUCGAAAGAAAUUCUCUUAAGGCUAUAUUAUGUCUUUACAAAUGUGAUUCUGUGUUUUUCUGAAAGUUGUUUGCAGCAAGUUAAUUAGGUGCUCACGCGUCUUAUGAAAGUGUUGGAAUAAUACUUUACUCCUAAUAAAUCAAGUGGCAAUGUAUGUAACUAUAAUCUUUCUUUGCAAUAUAAUGAAUAAGCCCAUGCACCUUUAGUAAUCUAAGAGUGGAAUUGACAUGCUUAAUGGUUAUAUAUAAUUUCUAUAAUAAAUUAGGUGAUCCAAAUUGGUAACCCUCUUUAUAUGUUUGAGUAGGAUAUAUGAAUUGAAUUUAAUAUUUUCUAAUAUUGCCGCAAAAGUAUUUAGUAGCAAUUGAGUUACUGUCAUUGCAUCCAUUGUGGCUAAAACCUUUAGUGACAUUUAUAUAGAGGGCUGGUACUUUUAGCAGCAAUUAUUUGAAAAUUUGAAAAUCAAGAUCAAAACAGAGUCUGGAGAAUCGAAGUCAUUAUACAUAUACCCUGAAAUUGUUCAUUUGUCGAUAUCAACAAGGAUUUGCACAACUAAAAAUAAUGUUAAAAUGUAAACCUAGGUUCCGCAGAUUCAACAGAAAAAUUCAGGAGCACUAAACAUAUUUUAACAGAUUGAAAAUAAACAAAACUGGAAAGCUCAUCAAGCAAAGAACAACAAAAAGUUGAGAGAUACGAAAGCUUUCAAUUCGCAUGGAAUCGAUUUUGUGAAUCUCAAAGCUGCCGCUUCAGAUGGAAUGGAGAAAGAGUGAUCGAGCCCUUUUGAAUUUGGUGAAUUUAGAGAAGUUUUUUGAAUGAAAUUGAAUUUGAAUUUGGUGAAUGUAGAGUGAUCGAGCCCUUUUUUAAAUUGAAUGUAGAGAAUGUUUGGAAAUUUUAGAGAAAAAAGGUUUUUUUUAAAAUUAAAUUAAAUGGAAUUUGGCUGUAUUUAUUAGACUUUUAUGUCGUUAAAGGUUAGUGAAUUGAGUAAUAGUAAUAUUAAUGUUACCGGACUAAUUGCAAUUAAACGGAUAAAUUUUACUGAAAACAUGAUUUAGCGAGCAAAUAUAUUUGAAUUUUGAACAACUGUCUUCUUCAAAUUUCAAAUACUAUAACAAGUCAACACUAUCUCUUUCGCAUCCGUUGGCAAACGAGCAAAACCAUCUGACUACCCAAAAAGGCCCUUACCUUGAACAAAGAUUCCAAAGUGGAAUUACCAUAGAGCAAAAUUGGAACCAUCCAAUUUUGUGGAGAGCAAAUCGUGCGGGAUGAAUGUGAACUCAUUGAGCAGAUAGAAUACAACAAAGAAAGCUAGAAAGACAUGAGAUUUUCUAAAUAGUAUUCUCUUGUUAAUUUAGAAUUAGAAUGAUAUAGUAGAAAAUAUUUAUAGCUAUAAUGGUUUACCUAAAUUUCACCUACAAAGUUACUCUUUUGUACCAAUGAAGAAUUAUCUUCCUACCAAUCUUCACAUUAAUUCAUCUUUGAAUCUUGUCAAAUUUAACAAAUCUCCACCUUGGCAAGAUUCUCCAUUUUUAACUUUCUCUCAACAACAAUUUUUUAUUGUGUCUUCAACCUCAAUCUUCAAUGUUCAACAAUGUUGAAACUUGACCGCAGUCACCACUUUUGUCAGCAUAUAUCGGCAGGAUUAUCCGUAGUAUGGAUUUUUUGCACUAUGACUCCACCUUCUUCUAUGAUGUCUCGUAUGAAAUGAUAUCGGACGUCAAUGUGCUUCAUCCUUGCAUGAUAAACUUGGUUCUUCGCUAAUUGAAUAAUACUUUGACUAUCACAAAAUAUUGUGAUUCCUUCUUGUCCAAUACCAAGCUCUCUAAGCAAUCCUUGAAGCCAAAUUGCCUCCUUCACAGCCUCUGUAAUUGCCUGUAAAGUAGGCUUCCAACUAACUGGUGUGUUUGCAAUAGUGAAUACAUAACCAAUAGUUGAUCUUCGUUUGUCCAAAUCACCUGCAUAAUCUGAGUCACAAUAUCCAACAAGAUAUUGACUAUCUUUAUGCUCGAAAACCAAGCCAACAUCUACAGUAUUAUGCAUAUAUUGUAGAAUCCAUUUUAUAGCCUCCCAAUGAUCUUUUCCAGGAUUAUGCAUGUACCUACUUACAACUCCAAUGGUGUGUGAAAUAUUUGGCCUUGUGCAAACCAUUGCAUACAUCAAGCUACCAACAACAUUUGCAUAUGGUACUCUUGACUUAUAUUCUCGUGUAGCUUCAUUCUUUGGUGAAAGAGCAUCACUAAACUUAAAAUGAGGAGCAAGCGGAGUGCUAACCGACUUCUAAUUUGAUACAAUAAUGUGGUAAAAUCAAUUAAUGAUCGGAAAACACAAAUAGAGAGAGAGAGAGAGAGAGGCAACUGGGGAAGUUAAUUAAGCUUUCAGUAAAUUAUCUAAUAAUUCCUCGGUAUAUAACAGGGGUCUGAGGAAGUUAAUGAAACUUUCAGUAAACUAGCUAAUAAUUCCUGGGUAUUUUUUGAGUAUAUAUAAGCUCUACCACAGUGUACAUCAUAGAGAAAGCACUCUACUCAUAAGAGCUGCAUAUACCACAGCUUAUUCCACAUGUGAAAAGCCUCCGCCAGUCUCAGCCAGGGUCCUGGCGGAGCCAGGGUUUUCAAUAAGAGGGUUCAAAAUCUGAAGAAGUGUACACACGAACUAGUCGAAGGGGGUUCGACAUCUAUUAUAUAUACCUAAAAAAUAAUUUUAACCAUGUAUAUAUAGUAAUAUUUUUCGCCGAAGGGAACCCCUAAGAACAUGCUGGCUCCGCCCCUCCUGCAUACAUAGAUGCCAUCGUUUAGUUGACUCGUGGAUAACAGGUAAUGCAGAAGAGAGCUAACGCCAAAUUACAGGAAUUCAACAGGUAAAUGCAGAAGUGAUCAUUAAUUGAUUUUACUACAUUGAGAUUUUGCAGAGAAACCAUUCUCAUCUUGGUCACAUGUCUAUGAGGAGGAGAGUUAUAAUGAGGUUAUAUACCCAGCACGUCACACGUGUGUCCAGUGUAAUUUAAUUUUUGAUUUGUUAGAAUGAUUAGAAUUCUAUGAAAACAUGCUUGUAAUGAGUAAUAAAAUGCAACAAUUAUAGAGAAUUAAUCUUUAAAAGUGUGACAAGAAACACCAAAUGAAGGACAUAUUUCAAUGUUUAAAAGUAAUUCCUUAUAAGCAACCAACGGUAAAUCUGAACAUUGGUUAGUAGUAGCAAACUUCCAAUAAAGUCACAAAUAACUAAUUUGAGCCUAAUGAAAAUAUAGAAUUUCGUAGAAAAUUAAAUUAAAGAAGUCUAAUAGGAAGAAAAAACACAAAAUAUAUAUACAUGAAAAAAAAAUACAAUAUACACUUCCUUCUAAAGUCUUUAAUCAUAACAAUGCAUAUGAAAAAAGAAAUAUAGAAUUACUACAUAAUUUCUGAGUUCUUGUUUACACCUUCUCCCAUAACCGAUUAAAAUUCAAGAGUCUUCUCAUCGAGUCAAACUAAAACAUAAAUCAGAUAGCACAAUAAUAAUAUAAACGCUCCACUACUUUCACUAUAGAAAGAAAUGAAUAACCAUGGAUUAGAGUCUCACGAAACAAAAAAAAUGAUUUAUAUAGAUAAAAACGGAGGAAUAUCAAAAGUUAUCUUAGUUUAAAUUAAUAUUUAGAGGUUAUGAAUAUGAAAAGUAUGAGAGUUAUGGAUUUAUGAGUAGCAAUUGAAUAGGUAAUUAUAUAUGAUUUAUGAUAGUGAUUAUUUAAAGCAAUAAAAAAAUGAAGAAGAGUAAAAGAUUAGUACAAACUAUAUUUAAGUAAAAAGUAUUAUAAUGUUACAUAUUAAUAGUGAAAAAAAUAAUUGCAUCACAGACUUCAAAUAACUUUGUGAUUUUCUCAAUGAAUUAAAUACUAAUUACCUCAGUAAAUUCGAUUUGGAAUACAAAAAAUAAACGUUUUGACAAGGUUAAAUAGGAGAGUAGUACUACAUUAAGUUAUUCAAAUAAUAAUUACGAGAAGUGGAAAAGAUUUAGUUAUAAUAUUUAUUCAGAUAUACAAUUUCAUGUGCCAAAUAAAUAUAGAUACAUUUGACCUAACACCUUCUCACUUUAAUAUUUAGUAUAAUAAUAAUAUAAUAUGAUUUAUUAUUUAAUAUUUAAUUAAUUAAAUAAUUUAUAAUUUUAUGAUUUUAGUGUAAGAAAAAAGUAGUAAUCCAACUUUAUACUUUGGAGCUUCCCACUUUUAGUAAUACUAAUUUUUCGACACGUGUGUUGCACGUGAUUAUCCAUUCAAAAAAUUUAAGCGAAGAUUUGAAUAAUAAGUUUUGCACAAAAUAAUAUUGCAGAUUCUUUUGUGAAUGUUCAAUGUGGAUUGUCAUAGAUAUCUCUUAUUCACGCGAACCUAUGAAGAUGGUCAAUGAAAAAUUUAUUAGUUAAAUGCAAUAAUGUAUAUAUUUAUUUCAAUUUGAUGAGGUUCAAUCAUGUAAUUAGUCGUAUCUCACUAAUAUUACCUUAUAGACGAUAUUCGUUGUGUAUUUUUCUUGUCAUCUAACUAGAUGUGAUUUCCACGUGUAUUCCACGUUAAUCUGUUUAGAUGUCAUAUUAACAUGCGGAGAACAGCUACAUUUUAUAUUUUAGAACUAUUUUUGUAAUUAAUUUUUAUUUUAUAAGUUAUGACUUCUUGAUUGAUUGUGUACAUAAAUCAAAGAUGGUUAUCUGACUGUCCAUAGUUAACUCAGAAAUGUUUCCUUUUUUUUGCCGGAGAAACUAAAAAUUAAAAUUAAAGAAUAUAUUUUAUCUCUAAAAUCAUAUAUAUGAUCACCUAUUUAUCUUACACCCAACAAAGAUAUAAUUCAUAUACUUGUAAACAAGUUUCAAUUUAGUCAACCAAUCCUGAUUCUCCCAAGGAAAAAUAACAACACCGUGUUAUCACAUAUAUAGGGACAGUAUAAUAAUACCAAAAAUUAUUGAUAAAAAGUUAAUAUAAAGAAAGAUGAAAGAUAGAAAUAAUUACUGUAAUAACUAUGAGAAUUCAUAAUAUUAUAACUAAAGAAUGUAAAGGAGUGUGAAUAAUGUUUGCAAUAAUUAAUAAUAACUAAGAGAAUUUAUAAUGUUAUAACUAAAGAACUAGUGUGAAAUAGAUGAAUUUCUAAUAGAUUUUAUACUUACAUAAAUAAAUAGGACUUUUAAUUAAUGUUACUAUUUUUUUUUAUAGUUAUUAGAUUUUAAUUUAGUGUAGGGACAAAAUGAAAUUUUUUAUUCCAUAUUACAUAAUAUAAAAUUUAUUUUGUUAAUGAUAAAUUUUAAAUGAUUCAUAUAUUUUCACAUUUGAUGUGAGUUUCUUUUUAAAAAAAAAGAACUCGGAACUUUUUAAAAUAAUAUAUUUUGAAGUUAGAAGAUCUUGUUAACUUUAGGCUACAUAAUGUUAACUUCAUAUCUUGGAACAUUGCAUAAUAAUGUAUAUACUAAGCAAAAAAAUAAUUAUUGGAUCAUCACAAUUAUUUUUCUUAAGUACUCGAGGUUAAGAAAUAUACCCUCUUAGGAUAGAACGACUUACUUAAUCAGAAUAGUGGUACCUCAUAUUCCGCUAAACUGCGAAGUCACACAACGAUAAUAAAUCACACGAAAUUUUUUAAAGUGCAAGAAGAAGAAGAGUAGAAGAUUAAAAAAAAUUGUGGUUGAAAAAUGAAAGGAAGCCUCUCUAUUUAUAGUAAACAAAAGGUAGUAUGAACAAGUGUUUUUUGUGUCUUAUCUUAAAAGUCAUGACUGAUUCGAGAAGUCACAACUUAUUGAAAAAGUCACAACAAUUUGGAAAAGACACAACACUUUGGAAAAGUCACAACUUAUCAGAAAAGUCACAACUCAUUGGAAAAGUCACAACCUAAGUUAGGGAUAUUAUAGUAAUUUAACAUUCAAGUUAGGAGUUCAUGCUUUUAAGGUAACUAGUUUUUCGACACUUGCAUUGCACGUGAUUAUCAAUUCUAAAAAUUUAAGCAAAGAUUUGAAUAAUAAGCUUUGCACAAAAUAAUAUUGCAUAUUAUUUUGUGAAUGUUCAAUGUGGAUCAUCAUAUAUAGCUCUUAUUCACACGAACCUAUGAAGAUGGUCAAUGAAAAAUUUUAUUAGUUAAAUGCAAUAAUGUUUAUUUUAUUUCAAUUUGAUGAGGUUCAAUCAUGUAAUUAGUCGUAUCUCAUUAAUAUUACCUUAUAGACGAUAUUUGUUGUGUAUUUUUCUUGUCAUCUAACCAAAUGUGCUUUUCACGUGUAUUCCACUUAAUUUGUUUAGAAGCCAUAUAAACUUUUCUUCGUCGAAAAUAUUGAAAUAUUAAGAAAUGGUAAAUUAGUAAAACAAAAGGGCAAUGUUUACAUAGUAAUAACUAUUUUGAAGCAAACUUCCUAACAAUCUAAAUCACAUAAGUAGCAUUGCUAAAAAAAGUCAUUCUUUUGUCUUGAGCAUCAAAAAAAUAAAUCGUGAUAAUUCUCUAACUCUUGAGAGGUUUCAGAAUUUUGGGAAAAGAUAUUCAGAAAUAUAUAUCUACAUCACAAGAGAAAUUAUUAACAAAAUAAAUGAAUUUAUACUAUAAUAAAAUUAAACUAAUACAAACUUCAAUUGACGUUAUUACAAGUCAUAUGAACUUUUCUUCGUUUAAAAUAUUGAAAUAUUAAGAAAUAGUAAAUAAGUAAAACAAAAGGGCAAUGUUUAUACAGUGACUCUUGAGAAGUUUAAUAAUUUUGGAAAAAGAUAUUCAGAAGCAUAUAAUUACAUCACGAGAGAAGUUGUUAACAAAAACAAAUGAAUUUAGACUACAAUAAAAAUUAAACUAAUACAAAUUUUAACUCGCAUUAUUUCAAGUCAUAUAAACCUUUCUUCAUCAAAUAUACUUAAAUAUUAAGAAAUAGUAAACCAAUAAAACCAAAGGGCAAUGUUUAUAUAGUAGUAACUAUUUUGAAGCAAUCUUCCUGACAAUUUAAAUCACAUAAGUACCAUUGAUAAAUAAAGCCAUAAAUUUGUAUUGAGCAUAAAAAACAAAUCGUGACAAUUCUCUAACUCUUGAGAAGUUUAAUAAUUUUUGAAAAAGAUAUUAAGAAGAAUAUAUCUACAUGACAAGCGAAAAUGUUAAUAAAAACAAAUGAAUUUUGACUGCAUCAUGUUAACUUCAUAUAUUGGAUCAUUACAUACUAAUAUAUAUAUACUAAGCAAAAAAAUAGCUAUUAUAUGAUCAGAGUUAUUUUCCUCAAGUACUCGAGGUUAAAGAAUAUACUCUCUUAGGAUAGAACAAUUUACUUCAUCGGAAUAGUGGUACCUCAUAUUCCGCUAAACUUCGAACUCACUCAACGACAAUAAGUCACACGAAAUUUUUUAAAAUGCAAGAAGAAGAAGAGUAGAAGAUUUAAAAAAAAUUGUGGUUGAAAAGUUAGAGGAAACCCCUCUAUUAUAGUCAACAAAGGGUAGUAUGAACAAGCAUUUUUUGGUGUCAUGACCUUUCCAAAAAGUGACAAGCCUUUGGAAAAGUCACAACUUAUUGAAAAAGUCACAACUCUUUGAAAAAGUCACAACUCUGUGGAAAAGUCACAACUCAUCGAAAAAUCACAACUUAUCAUAAAAGUCACAACAUAAGUUAGGUAUAUUAUAGUAAUUUAACAUUCAAGUUAGGAGUUCAUGCUUUUAAGAUAACUAGUGUCACGGCACGUGCGUUGCACGUGUGUAUCGUAUAUAGUAUAUGAUGUUGUAAAAUAGAAUUAAUAUUACUAAAUUGUAGAGUUUUAGUAAAUAAUUAUAAUUGAACGAACAUAGGACAAGUCUCUUUAAAUUAUUACUACAUAUUGUCAUAGAGUUACUAGUAUUUUGAGAUAAGUAUGACCAGAUAUCAUUAAAACAUUUAAAAAUACAUUCAAAGUUUAAAUAUGGGAGAAAGUGACAUUUCUUUGAUAAUAUUAUUUUUACUUCACUCAAUUUGUAAACAAAUCUAACCAACAAAAUAGAAAAAAAAAUAUCCAUUCAAAAAAUGUCACCAAUAGCCUUUCCUCUUGAGGUUAUGAACAUAAAUGAUGUACACCAUUUAAGUACAAAUUUUAUCUUAAGUAUUUAUACUUGAAAUUUAGGAUGUGCAUGACAAUAAUAAGGAUUACCAUAAGUAUUUCAAUAUUUUAUCUUUAUAUGUAACAUAUCUUUUACAAAAUAUUAUUACUCAAUUAAUAUUUGUGUAAGGCUAUCACAGAGAGGCAACUUUACCAAAAAAGUGUAUUUGGCUGUUAUCAUGAAUGGUGGUUAUGUAUACUUCAGUAGCAUAAUUUAAUUUAAAUAUAUGAAUAAUAUCACCUAUGUUGAAAAAUAUUUCAUUUCAUUAAGUUUCUACAUUAUCUUUGUGGAAUUGUAGUCUUCCCCUUUUUUUCUGCCGCAUACAUAUCAUAUAGUUGUUGUCUAAUGAAAGCAUCUAGUAUCUUAUAGAAGUUGUAUCGUGAUAUAAAAUGUUUAAAUUUUUCAAUAACAAAAAUUAAUAGAUGAAUAAAAUUUAAAGUAUUAUUUAUAGAAUCAUUAAUUUGAUUUAAGAUCAUCUUAUGAUCAAUCAUAUAAUAUAUGAAACCUUUUCAAUAAUAAAAAUUAAUAGAUGAAUAAAAUUUAAAGUAUUAUUUAUAGAAUCUUUAACUUGAUUUAAGAUCAUCGUAUUAUCAAUCACUAUUUUCUUAUCUAUUUUUAUAUAGCUAGUAAGGAGUGUAUCUUGUGAUAUAAAGAAAAAAUAUAUGGAACAAGACAUAGCGAAUGAAGAAGGAAGACUAAAAUAUAUGUUCAUGCUAAAUUCACUCUAGUGUUCCAUUUGAUUUAAAUCUCUUGUCACCAACACUUUACUUUCCCCGUUCAUUUUUACAUACAUAUCUAUUAAAAAAUAAGUAUUAUCAUGGUCAUGUUAUCAUAUUAUAAGUAAAAGUGAAAAUCUAUUUUUGAAAUAGUGAAUUUAACAUCAAAACUAAUAAUUCAAUGGAUACCCAUUGUUUUAGCAAAAUUAGGAAGAAACUCCUUCGUUUGAGGGAAAAGAAUAAAAAAUAAAAAAAACAAAGAAGAAAUAUUUUACCCAAAUCAUAUGUCUCGUUUAAUAUUAUUGUCUCUCCCACAACUUUUUGUCACUGUUAACUCGUGAAACUGGUAAGAAAAAAUAUGAGUGUGAAUUGAUGAAUGAUUUGCUACAAUUUUUUCAUCAACUCUUUCUUAACCUUGAAUUUCGUUGAAUUUCGAACUUGAUCAUUUUUUGUAAAUAACACUUGAGAUUUUUUAAGAAAAAGAAGAAUAGAGAACUUAAUAAAUUGUAGUUUAAAAGUGUGAGGAAACCCCUCUAUUUAUAGCUACCAAAUAGUAGUAUGAAUAGGUGUUAAUUGUGCCUUAUCCGAAAAGUCACAACCUUUCAAAAAAGUCACUGCUUAUCGGAGAAGAUACUGUUUAUUGGAAAAGUCACAACUCAUCAGAAAAAGGCACAACCCUUCGAAAAAAUCACAACCCUUCGGAAAAGUCACAACUCAUUGGAAAAGUCACAACCCAUCAAAAAAGUCAUAACCCUUUGGAAAAGUUACAAUCCUUUAAUUUGAAAAGGUAUCUACUUUCAAUAUAAUAAAAUUAAUAAAUAAAAUAAAUUGAGUAUUUUUAAUUAGGGAUAUUAUAGUAAUUCAACAUUUAAGUUUGGGAACUCAUGCUUUUAAGGUAGUAUAGAUAGAUAGAUAUAGAUAGAUAGAUAGAUAUAGAUAUGACUAAAAAAUAAAUUAAAUAUAAUAUUUAUAACCUAUUCAGUAUGUUUUACUUUUACGCUUAGUCUAUUUAUUAGUUCCUCAAAAGUCAAAAUAAAUUAGUUCAUAUGGAAAUCUUAACCCUGUAUAUACUAUGCCUACCAAAUAGACUCGUGCAAAAUUUUCAGUACCCAUUGUUUUUUAAUUUCGUAUAAAUAGUCACACCUAAUUUCUGGUUGUUUGGGGGAAGAAUCAUAACAAACUAAAGCAUAACAAUGAGGAUGUGGUGGUUUAUAACAACUUUAGCCAUUACUGCUUUCUUUUGUAAUUCCCCUGUUUAUGCUUAUGAUAACAACCCUCUACAGGACAUAUGUGUUGCUGUUAACGACUCUCAUGCUUCAGGUUAAUCCUCCUUCUAUAUUAUUUAUUUGUUUCAGAAUGAGGCAUAGUUUUUGUAUGUAUGUUGUACAAUUUAUGUCACAUCUUAUUAUCUGAGUAAUAUGCGCUUAGCUUCAUUUUAUUGUACGUGUGCAGUUUUCGUGAACGGGAAGAUUUGCAAAGACCCAAAGCUUGCAACAGCGAAUGAUUUCUAUUUUUCAGGUCUUAAUGUAAGUGGAAAUGAAGUGCCUGGGUUAGGUUUUGCUUUAAAGACUGUGGAUGUAAACAACAUGCCUGGACUUAACACUCUUGGUAUUACUCUUGUUCGUGCUGACCUGGAACCACAACGUAUUGGACCAUUUCACAUGCACCCUCGAGCUACUGAGAUGAUAACUAUCCUGGAGGGUACUACUUAAGCAGGAUUUCUUGUCCCUGAUCCUGCAAACUUCUUUAAGAGUCGUCUCUUUUCCAAAAUCUUGAAUCCUGGCGAUGUGUUUGUGUUCCCACAAGGUCUUAUUCACUUCCUGUAUAACGUGGGAUACAAAAAAGCUACUUUUCUCUUUUAUUUCAAUAGUCAAAAUCCUGGAUUUGUCAUUAUUCCUUAUUCAAUCUUUGCUUCAAAUCCACCUAUUUCAGACGACGUUCUUGCCAAAGGCUUCCAGCUGAAUAAGACACAGAUUGCAGAACUUCGAAAGAAAUUCUCUUAAGGUUAUAUAAUGCAUGUCGUUAAAAAUGUGAUUCUGUGUUUUUUCAGAAAGUUGUUUGCAGCACGUUAGGUGC